UUCAAUUAGUGUCCUUUUAAAAUGGUUCUGGCAGGAGGAUUGCGUCUUUGUCCUUAAAUGGCGGCUUUGCAGCGACAGGAAAAUACUCCCGGGAUGUUUUGCUUUAUUUGCUUCCCAGACUUCCUGUCCUCUACAACAGCCUGACUGCCGAAGCGAAGAGCUCCCGUGUGGCGUGAAAUCGGACAGAUGAGCGCAGCAGUUGAUCCCGGAGACCAGCCGCACUCACCUCGCGGUCCCGGGUGGCCACCGUCUCUCCGGCCGGCUGUCCUGACUGGAGCGUUUCCUCUCCUGGGGCUCCAGACUGCGGGCCGCCGGAGCGUCUGGAUAACAGCCGGUCGUGUUACACCUGUACUGUUUCUAUUUCGAUUUUUGCAAUAAAUUAGUCUUUGGAUUGUUUCUUAAACCAAACUGUUUGGGUAUCUUGGAUCACUUCAUGUUGGAAGUGAGCCUCCUGUUUCUUUAAUGAGCCUGCAUCUGUCUCCUUUACCCUUUCAGGCUGCUCAGAGUGCCACUCAGUCAUGAAUUUAAGGUGCUUUAUCUUCAUCCAUGGUAGCUGUUGCACAAGCUUCUUCCCUGCACUUUGCCUGUAAAACUCAAGCUGUUGCUUGAAUGUACACAAAGGCAUGUAGCCUGUGGCCAAGCAACUGCUUGAUUGCACAACU
Long non-coding RNA from Lepisosteus oculatus (spotted gar), 662 nucleotides. RefSeq lists it as uncharacterized. Lineage: Eukaryota; Metazoa; Chordata; Actinopteri; Semionotiformes; Lepisosteidae. The record is from RefSeq and is a predicted model, not a curated record.